GCUUACACAUGCAAGUCGAGUGCGCGUCUGUAGCAAUACAGAUGGCGCACGGCGCACGGGUGCGUAACACGUGGGUAAUCUGCCCUUCGAAGGGGAAUAACUCGCCGGAAGGCGAGCUAAUUCCGCAUAACAUUCCGAGAACCUUGGUUUUUGGAUUCAAAGGCGUAAGUCGUCGGAGGAGGAGCCCGCGCACGAUUAGCUAGUUGGUAGGGUAACGGCCUACCAAGGCUAUGAUCGUUAGCUGGUCUGAGAGGAUGGCCAGCCACACUGGAACUGAGACACGGUCCAGACUCCUACGGGAGGCAGCAGUGGGGAAUCUUGCACAAUGGGCGAAAGCCUGAUGCAGCGACGCCGCGUGGGGGAUGAAGCUUCUCGGAGUGUAAACCCCUUUCGACCCGGACGAAUGCCCCGCAAGGGGACUGACG
This 425-nucleotide ribosomal RNA is filed under the name uncultured bacterium. RNAcentral's name for it is "bacterial SSU rRNA". It matches the Rfam family "Bacterial small subunit ribosomal RNA", at positions 46 to 474 of the family's 1533-position model. The record is from RNAcentral.